AUGAAAUGCAAAUAUAACUCUACAUCACAAUAUUAAGGAAAUCAUAUAGGAAACCUAACUACUUUUUCUUUUGUUUGAAUUGCAGGAAAAAAAAAAUAGCUCUUUGGGUGUAAGAGUCAUUGCCCAUAAACUCACGAUCCGCGGUUAAAUAGUUUCGUUGUCCCUGAUUUAACCCAGUCAGGGAGACCUACCACCCAUCGUAAGAAUCUUUCCAACAAAAUUGCCAACAAAUUACAUGAUCUUUAUACUAUUUUCAUGGUGUCUUGAGAAAAAUACAGACAAAACCCUUGAUCUUGCUUUUGUAUUGUCAUAUCUUGUAAACAGGUACAAUUCCAAGAAGGAAAAAGCAUUUCCUCAUGACCACGGCUGUUGCUUCACACAGCAAAAGUCUGGUUGUUUCCUCGGCUGACCCAACAACCUGCUCAAUUUUCCAAUAUUACAACGUUGGCUCUUGGGUUCGUAAACAUCUUAGUCUGUCUAUUGUCAGUUCACCGAAGAAAAAUAAAUAGGAGGGAAAACUUCCAAGUCAUUACAUAUUGCAUACUGUACACCAACUGGCCAGUUCACAUAAAAUAUUUUGAAGACUAUGAUGCCGCAUGAGCUAGUUAGCUGUUUUGCCACGUGAUGGGCAAGUCAACAUUCUAUCAUUAGCAUAAUAUUUUAGCAUUGUUGGACCAUAACUGGCAAUUGGAAUAAAAUUUGGUGAAGUAUUCAGAUAAAUUAUAGAGAUAUUCACACAACACAUUUGGCAGGAGAUUGGUGCAAGCCUCCUCAACGAUCUCAGCAAACUGUAGUAAAUGAAGCCCCAGUGCACGCUCAUCAGGAUGAGCCAAAACCAAAACUCCAAUCUGCAUCAGAAGAAUAGACAUGAGAAGCAAAAAUGAAUAAAUAAAAUAAAAAAUAUCAAACUUUGCUACUUGAGAUGUUAACUGCCAUUACUUUAGACAAUAAUUCAAAUUCUUAAAAUCCACAAGCAUUAAAAAACUGGGUAAGUAUGCCCAGACACCUCAGUACUAGGUUUAGAUGAGACAAAAAAAGGAUGCAACUGAUAUUCAAAGCUAUAACAUCCCUCUUAAAAGAAAAGCCAUAUAAACAUAAUAUUUGUCACAGGUUUUCCAUGAAAUUUUGCUUAACUUUUAGAUUAAAGAUUCAGAGUUGGGGGAGUAUAUUAUAUCACCAGCAGAACAAACUAGAAAAGCAGCAUGCCUUUGAAAAUUCACACGAUAUCAUGGUCAAACCAAUAUCAUCAUAGUAAAAAAGGAUUAUCAGCACAGUUUAAAUUCUAAUUUAAAUCAAGUCUCACGAUGUAAAAAACCAACUCCAAGUGGUAUUAAUGCAGUCAAGUUAGAAAAAGAAGCCUUUUUUGGGGUAACAUGAACUUUGAAACAUGAAAAUUUCAAUGAUAUCUGCAGCUUCAAGUAGGAAGAGAACUCACUUUCUUCAAUUCCUCUAUGUCUUUACCAGAUUUCCUGAUGAUUGAACAGAUCCGAGCAUGUGCAUAUAACAAAUAAACAGCAGUAUUUCCCUUAUCAUUAAGCAUCUGAUCAUAGUUGAAUGUAUAAUUGGUCAAUCUGUUGUUUUUCAAGUCAGCAUACUUGAUAGCACCAUAACCAAUUGCCUCAGCUGUUUGCUCAAGCUCCUCUUCAGUCCACUCUUCAGCCUUGCCACGCUCAACAAGUGCUGCUUUGCUACGAGUCUUUGCUUCAUCUAGCAAAUCAACUAACCGAACCACUUCAGUAGCUCGAGUUCUAAAACGCUUGCCAUCAUCUCCAAGAACAAGGCCAAAUCCAACAUGGCUAGCUUUAGGAAACAUACUAUCACCAGCUGGGAGCCAACCCGCACGUUUGGCAGCUUUGAAUACCAUAUCAAAGUGCUGCUGCUGACCAACAUCAGUAACAUAUAUAAUCCACUCAGCUUUAUCUUCAUUAAGGCGAUACCAAAGGGCAGCUAGAUCAGUAGAAGCAUAGUUGUAACCACCAUCACUCUUCACAACAAUAAGAGGUAUAUUAAUUCCUUCAAUAAAGAUCACGCGAGCACCUUCACUUUCUUGAACUAAUCCUUUAUUGCUUAAUCCCUCUAUAACCCCAGGAAUGAAUGGAUUGUAAAAGCUUUCUCCCUUUUCCUCAAGAUGAACUCCAAGGCGUUGAUAGACCUUAUCGAACUCCUUCCUGCUGAUGUCACAGAUCUGCGCCCAUGCUUGGCGGUACUUGGGUUCUCCACCCUGGAGGCAAACAACUGCUUUCUGUGCCCUCUCCUUAAAUGCAGAAUCAGUGUCAAACCUCUGUUUUGAUGCCUUAUAGAAUGCCUGUAGAUCUCCAAUGGCUCUUUCAUUAACAUCUUCAAAGUUUGGGAACUUUUCGAAGAGGAAUUCAAUCAACAUACCAAACUGUGUCCCCCAAUCACCAACAUGAUUUCGUCGAAGCACAUCAACCUUUGAGAAUUCAAGCAUUCGGGCUAGUGUGUCACCAAUAAUAGUGGAUCUUAAAUGGCCAACAUGCAUUUCUUUUGCAAUAUUGGGUGAGGAAAAGUCAACCACAGCCCUUUUGAUCGAAAACUUGGGCGCCCAAGUAUCAAUACCAUCAACUAGCAUAUUUUGAAUUUUCUCAGCCAACCAGGUCUUUGACAAAACAACAUUCACAAAACCAGGUCCUGCCACAGAGCAAGAUUCUAUCAUUUCAGACGGAGGAAGAUUUUUCAUUAUUGCCUGUCCAACUGCUGGAGGGCCCUUAAAAUCAGUAUUUUUUCCUUUUAUUUUAGACCAAAGGCUCAUGGCAUUAUUACAUUGAUAAUCGCCGAAUUUGGCAGUGCAGGCAGCAACCAAAGGCUCAACAUCGUGCUCACUAGGGACAGUCUCUCUAAGAGAUGCUUCAAACAAUUUCGCCAACUGUUUCUUUAAAUUGCCACUGUUCUCCUCACUCGUAUUCGCCAUGGUCGAUAUCGACUGCGUCUUUGUAGCUAAAACAAUUCUUCUUGAUGUCGCUCUUAACAAGUCUGUCUUGUUUCAGAGCAAAAUGAUAGCAUAAAAACCAAAAAAACCAAAUCCAAAUUCCAGAGGCGAAGAGAGGAGAGGAGUGGAAAUGAGAGAGAAGGUUGAAGGAGAGGACUGGAGGGGAUACCGGCGCAAGCAGAAGGGUUAGGGAGGACCCUAGCAUGCCUUUUUCUUUUAUAUAUUUUGCCCUUACUGACACUGUUUCUGCUCUACGUGCUCCCGCUACUGGCUUUAGCAAAUUAGGGAUUUUCUUAUGGUUAUUUGCUUUUGCCAAUGAGAAGCCAACGAGUCAGCUUAC
Molecule: unclassified non-coding RNA, 3287 nt
Filed under: Hevea brasiliensis (rubber tree)
Lineage: Eukaryota; Viridiplantae; Streptophyta; Magnoliopsida; Malpighiales; Euphorbiaceae
Source: RNAcentral